UGAGUACGAAAUGCUACGGCAUUGAAGCAGUCUAUGUCAUACUUCCUAGAAAAGCUUGCACUGUCAUAAACAAAUAAUGCCUGUACCAUAACCGACACAGGUGGGUAGGUAGAGUAUACUAAGGGGCGCGAGAUAACUCUCUCUAAGGAACUCGGCAAAAUGACUCCGUAACUUCGGGAGAAGGAGUGCCUUAUUUAUAAGGUUGCAAUAACAAGAUCCAAGCAACUGUUUAUCAAAAACACAGGUCUCCGCUAAGUCGUAAGACGAUGUAUGGGGGCUGACGCCUGCCCAGUGCCAGAAGGUUAAAGAAGUUGGUUAGCAUUCGCGAAGCUGAUAACUGAAGCCCUAGUGAACGGCGGCCGUAACUAUAACGGUCCUAAGGUAGCGAAAUUCCUUGUCGGGUAAGUUCCGACCCGCACGAAAGGCGUAAUGAUUUGGAUACUGUCUCGGAGAGGGGCUCGGUGAAAUAGACUUGUCUGUGAAGAUGCGGACUACCUGCACCUGGACAGAAAGACCCUAUGAAGCUUUACUGUAACUUGAAAUUGAAAUUGGACUUUACUUGCGCAGUAUAGGUGGGAGGCAUUGAAGAUAUUCUUGCGGGAAUAUUGGAGCCAUCAGUGAGAUACCACUCUUGUAAUGUUAGAUUUCUAACUUUGUAUCAUUAUCUGGUCAAAGAACAGUUUCAGGCGGGCAGUUUGACUGGGGCGGUCGCCUCCCAAAUGGUAACGGAGGCGCACUAAGGUUUCCUCUGAACGGGUAGAAAUCGUAUCUAGAGUGUAAAGGCAUAAGGAAGCUUGACUGUGAGACCUACAAGUCAGCAGGGACGAAAGUCGGUCUUAGUGAUCUGACGGUGCUGAGUGGAAAGGCCGUCACUCAACGGAUAAAAGUUACUCUAAGGAUAACAGGCUGAUCUCCCCCAAGAGUUCACAUCGACGGGGAGGUUUGGCACCUCGAUGUCGGCUCAUCGCAUCCUGGGGCGGUAGUACGUCCCAAGGGUUGGGCUGUUCGCCCAUGAAAGCGGUACGCGAGCUGGGUUCAGAACGUCGUGAGACAGUUCGGUCCAUAUCCGGUGUAGGCGUUAGAAUAUUGAGAGGAGCCUUCUUUAGUACGAGAGGACCGAGAAGGACAUACCUCUGGUGUACCAGUUAUUGUGCCAACGGUAAACGCUGGGUAGCUAUGUAUGGAGAGGAUAACCGCUGAAAGCAUCUAAGUGGGAAGCCCACCUCAAGAUAAG
Molecule: ribosomal RNA, 1234 nt
Filed under: metagenome
Description: bacterial LSU rRNA
Rfam family: Bacterial large subunit ribosomal RNA
Source: RNAcentral